UUCAUCAGCUGCCGUCUUAGAGCCACUUUGAAACAAAAGUCUCCAAGCCGUCAUAAUAAAGUCUGUUUCUUCCACAAACCCUCAUUCAGAUGGCGGUCCAUAGAGGGAGACAGCGCUCUGUGUGAGUGCUGCAACACUGACUGCUCAGGACUGGCUGGAGUGAAGAACCACGGCCAUCCAGAGACAGAUGAGACGUUUGAGGCCCACAGGACAGUUGGACUUCUUCAUGUUGUGCAUCAAUCCUACUGGACCGGAGAGCUGUCAGUCAGUUGAAAAAAACUCUACUCCAGAUCCAGAGUUUGGUUGGUUUUGUUCAAACUCUUCUGCUGCAGAGGAAACAUCAGAGACCAGAUGGGAAAUGUUGGAUGAAUGCUUUAAUAUACUUUAGGUAAACACUUUUACCUUGUUUGC
Molecule: long non-coding RNA, 411 nt
Organism: Gambusia affinis (western mosquitofish)
Lineage: Eukaryota; Metazoa; Chordata; Actinopteri; Cyprinodontiformes; Poeciliidae
Exons: 4
Source: RefSeq, a predicted model, not a curated record